AGGGAGCUUGCUCCCGGAUGUUAGCGGCGGACGGGUGAGUAACACGUGGGUAACCUGCCUGUAAGACUGGGAUAACUCCGGGAAACCGGAGCUAAUACCGGAUAGUUCCUUGAACCGCAUGGUUCAAGGAUGAAAGACGGUUUCGGCUGUCACUUACAGAUGGACCCGCGGCGCAUUAGCUAGUUGGUGGGGUAAUGGCUCACCAAGGCGACGAUGCGUAGCCGACCUGAGAGGGUGAUCGGCCACACUGGGACUGAGACACGGCCCAGACUCCUACGGGAGGCAGCAGUGGG
RNAcentral lists this ribosomal RNA (293 nucleotides) under Bacillus safensis. Its description in RNAcentral is "partial 16S ribosomal RNA". It matches the Rfam family "Bacterial small subunit ribosomal RNA", at positions 73 to 358 of the family's 1533-position model. The record is from RNAcentral. Lineage: Bacteria; Bacillati; Bacillota; Bacilli; Caryophanales; Bacillaceae.